RNAcentral lists this non-coding RNA (258 nucleotides) under Tissierella creatinophila. RNAcentral's name for it is "T-box sequence". It matches the Rfam family "T-box leader". Rfam says of the family: Uncharged tRNA acts as the effector for transcription antitermination of genes in the T-box leader family. Lineage: Bacteria; Bacillati; Bacillota; Tissierellia; Tissierellales; Tissierellaceae. The record is from RNAcentral.
ACAAAAGUUAUCUUAGAGAUAAAAGUACAAAAAAUUUAAUUACAGAGAGCUGAUACUUGGUGAGAAUCAGUAUUAAAGAUGUAUAAUGAUCCCUCUAAGGCUAUAAAGACGAAAUAUUAAAAGUAGUUUUUAUCGGUAAUCUUUUUUUAAAGAUGCGCCACCGUUAUAUGGCUCGGGCUAAAAGUAAAAUCUUUGGGCCUUAAAGGCACUUAAACUAAGUGUAAACAUGGGUGGUACCACGAUAAUCUCGUCCCUAGU